AGUAGCCUGUGGAAUAUAUUUUGGCAGUCGUCAAAGGUCUGAACCCACAUACCUCAUUACACCUUGAGUUAUUCAGAGCACCAGACCUAAAUUGGAUAGUUUUAUGUUUUCCGGCUUUUUUGUAUUUCGGUGUGAGUUUGUGAGUUUGUAACCGGUCCAAAUUUUAAGUUGUGUUUUAAGUUUUUGUUGGACAAGUCGCUGCCAUGUUUUACCAUGUAUCCGAACGAGAUCAGUGCAUCAUCCAGGAAUACCAAAGAUGCCCCACAAGCGAUGUCCUCCAAUGGUAGUGUUGCGGUGGACGGCGUAAGUUGCGGUUGCUCCAAUGGAUCUGGCCGGAACUGCGGUUGUUCCAACUGCCAGAAGAGGCAUCCGCGAAACGAGCGGAGGACAUAAGGCUAUCCGUGUAUUUUUGGAUCACCACGGUGGUUAGGAAAUCGCGUUGCUCAGGGACCCGCUAAUCCUGGCCACCGCAAAAAUUAACUUUUCGACUAACACAUUUUUGUGGAGCUAUUAUUGGAUUCAGAUUAUAAUAGCUCACAUAUGCUGGGAUACCCAACACUGGGAUAUCCUAUACUUGGAUACCAUAUACCUUGGUACACACACUAUACAUUGGUAACCUAUACUUUGGAACCCUAGACUUUGGUUCUCUAGACGUCGGUACCCCAUACUUUGUUACCCUCGAGUUGGAUACCUUCACUUGGAUACCCUACACUUGAAUACCCUACACUUGGAUACCCUACCCUUGGAUACCCUACACUCGGAUACCCCACAGCUUGGAUACCCCAAAUACGGAUAACGAUUGACUUGGAUUCGAAAUAUAUAGGAUAGGUUUAUAGGAUUACUUGAAUAUCCUAAACUUGGAUACCCCAUAUUUGACUGUUAUUAGGACUGCUGUUCCCAGACUCAAGAAGGAAUCGAUGAUUUAAAACGUUUGUGAACGUUGAUUAAUUAAAGACAAUAAUACGAGCCAAA
RNA transcript from Drosophila simulans, 972 nucleotides. RefSeq lists it as uncharacterized. The transcript has 2 exons. NCBI's taxonomy places the organism in Eukaryota, Metazoa, Arthropoda, Insecta, Diptera, Drosophilidae. The record is from RefSeq and is a predicted model, not a curated record.